This is a non-coding RNA of Caerostris darwini, 89 nucleotides long. The record is from the annotation of a GenBank genome assembly. Lineage: Eukaryota; Metazoa; Arthropoda; Arachnida; Araneae; Araneidae.
AACGGCCAUACCAUGCUGAAUAUAUCAGUUCUCGUUAGAUCACCAAAGUCAAACGUCAUUGGGCGCGGUCAGUACUUGGGUGGGAACAC